Molecule: ribosomal RNA, 484 nt
Filed under: uncultured bacterium
Lineage: Bacteria
Description: partial 16S ribosomal RNA
Rfam family: Bacterial small subunit ribosomal RNA
Source: RNAcentral
AUUGAACGCUGGCGGCAUGCUUUACACAUGCAAGUCGAACGGCAGCGCGGGCUUCGGCCUGGCGGCGAGUGGCGAACGGGUGAGUAAUGCAUCGGAACGUGCCUGGUAGUGGGGGAUAGCCUGGCGAAAGCCGGAUUAAUACCGCAUACGACCUGAGGGUGAAAGUGGGGGACCUAAAGACCUCGCGCUAUUGGAUCGGCCGAUGUCGGAUUAGCUAGUUGGUGGGGUAAAGGCCUACCAAGGCGACGAUCCGUAGCUGGUCUGAGAGGACGACCAGCCAACAUGGGACUGGGGCAAGGCCCCGAAUCCUUAGGGAGGCCACAGUGGGGGAAUUUGGAAAAUGGGGGCAAACCCUGACCAGCCAUGGCGGGGGCGGGAAGAAGGCCUUCGGGUUGGAAAACGAUUUUGUGCGGGAAGAAAGGCUAUGAGCUAAUACCCCGGGGGGAUGACGGUAACGGAAGAAUAAGCACCGGCUAACUACGUG